Molecule: transfer RNA, 85 nt
Filed under: Felis catus (domestic cat)
Lineage: Eukaryota; Metazoa; Chordata; Mammalia; Carnivora; Felidae
Also listed under: 2 other names
Rfam family: tRNA
About the family: Transfer RNA (tRNA) molecules are approximately 80 nucleotides in length.
Source: Rfam by way of RNAcentral
GCCUGGGUGGCUCAGUCAGUUGGGCAUCUGACUUCCACUCAGGUCAUUAUCUCACGGUUUGUGAGUUCAAGCCCCACAUCGGGCU